AAAUAAUCCAAUGAUCACAAACAGAAUAUAUCUUUAGGGUAAAAAAUGCCUAAUGUGGCAAGGUAGACGCUAUAAUCUUCUUGGUAUGUGGCGCAGGGAGACAUUAACGCCUUGAAUUACAAUCAACAAAAAGAUCCAUGGGCUGGGCAGCAAAUAAAACAAAAACUGCCCAGAGGGGCCAGUGAGAUUGUUCAUUUGACACCACCAGUUUUCAAAAUAUACUCAGAAGCUUAUUCUGCACUAAAAUUAUGUGAUAUGAAGCUCUUAUGCCUUCUGUCCAAAUGAGUUCUCAAGGACUGGGACUCCUGGUCCAUAUAUCAAACGGCAACGCUCGCUGAAUGAACCAACCAGUCGGGAGACCACUUCCUUGAAGAACAUGGAUGCUACCUGUCUGUAAAGUGGUGAUUGGAACUUAAAAUCUACCAAAAAAAAAAGGUCACAAGUUCCUGGAACAGGUCCUGGGUUGAAUUCCCAAAUAUUUAUCAAAUGAUCAAAGAGGGUACUCUCUGACACAGUUGUCUUUAUUGACUUAGGUCUGUUCAAUUCUACAUGAGAAACAUAACUCUCAACCAGAUAUUUAAAACCAAUCUCCAGCUCAGCAUCAAAUGAUCCAUC
This 615-nucleotide unclassified non-coding RNA is filed under the name Hevea brasiliensis (rubber tree). Lineage: Eukaryota; Viridiplantae; Streptophyta; Magnoliopsida; Malpighiales; Euphorbiaceae. The record is from RNAcentral.